Molecule: ribosomal RNA, 274 nt
Filed under: uncultured bacterium
Lineage: Bacteria
Description: partial 16S ribosomal RNA
Rfam family: Bacterial small subunit ribosomal RNA
Source: RNAcentral
AUACGGAGGGUGCAAGCGUUAAUCGGAAUUACUGGGCGUAAAGCGCGCGUAGGCGGUUUGGUAAGUCGGAUGUGAAAGCCCCGGGCUCAACCUGGGAAUUGCAUUCGAUACUGCCAGACUAGAGUAUGGUAGAGGGAAGUGGAAUUCCGGGUGUAGCGGUGAAAUGCGUAGAUAUCCGGAGGAACACCAGUGGCGAAGGCGACUUCCUGGACCAAUACUGACGCUGAGGUGCGAAAGCGCGGGGAGCAAACAGGAUUAGAAACCCUAGUAGUCC